RNAcentral lists this transfer RNA (106 nucleotides) under Auriscalpium vulgare. Its description in RNAcentral is "tRNA-Gly". It matches the Rfam family "tRNA". From Rfam's summary of the family: Transfer RNA (tRNA) molecules are approximately 80 nucleotides in length. Lineage: Eukaryota; Fungi; Basidiomycota; Agaricomycetes; Russulales; Auriscalpiaceae. The record is from RNAcentral.
GCAUUAAUGGGGUAGUGGUAACCUGGGUCGUUGCCAAGCAUCGGGGAUUUCAAACCCUCGAUUGCAUAAUGUCGACCCGCCGGGGGUUCAAUUCCCCCUUAAUGCA